This 440-nucleotide ribosomal RNA is filed under the name uncultured bacterium. RNAcentral's name for it is "partial 16S ribosomal RNA". It matches the Rfam family "Bacterial small subunit ribosomal RNA", at positions 338 to 795 of the family's 1533-position model. The record is from RNAcentral.
CCUACGGGAGGCAGCAGUAGGGAAUAUUGCUCAAUGGGGGAAACCCUGAAGCAGCAACGCCGCGUGGAGGAUGAAGGUUUUCGGAUCGUAAACUUCUUUUGUUAGAGAAGAUAAUGACGGUAUCUAACGAAUAAGCACCGGCUAACUCCGUGCCAGCAGCCGCGGUAAUACGGAGGGUGCAAGCGUUACUCGGAACCACUAGGAGUAAAGAGCGCGUAGGCGGGAUAGCAAGUCAGAUGUGAAAUCCUAUGGCUUAACCAUAGGACUGCAUUUGAAACUGUUAUUCUAGAGUAUGGGAGAGGAAGGUGGAAUUCUUGGGGUAGGGGUAAAAUCCGUAGAGAUUAAGAGGAAUACUCGUUGCGAAGGCGACCUGCUAGAACAAAACUGACGCUGAGGCGCGAAAGCGUGGGGAGCAAACAGGAGUAGAUACCCGAGUAGUC